RNAcentral lists this ribosomal RNA (450 nucleotides) under uncultured Glomeromycotina. RNAcentral's name for it is "SSU rRNA". It matches the Rfam family "Eukaryotic small subunit ribosomal RNA", at positions 569 to 1023 of the family's 1831-position model. The record is from RNAcentral. Lineage: Eukaryota; Fungi; Glomeromycota.
AGCAGCCGCGGUAAUUCCAGCUCCAAUAGCGUAUAUUAAAGUUGUUGCAGUUAAAAAGCUCGUAGUUGAAUUUCGGGGUCAGUAGGUUGGUCGUGCCACUGGUAUGUACUGGUCUCACUGAUUCCUCCUUCCUGAUGAACUGUAAUGCCAUUAAUUUGGUGUUGCAGGGAAUCUGGACUGUUACUUUGAAAAAAUUAGAGUGUUUAAAGCAGGCUAACGCCUGAAUACAUUAGCAUGGAAUAAUGAAAUAGGACGUUCGAUCCUAUUUUGUUGGUUUCUAGGAUUGACGUAAUGAUUAAUAGGGAUAGUUGGGGGCAUUAGUAUUCAAUUGUCAGAGGUGAAAUUCUUGGAUUUAUUGAAGACUAACUACUGCGAAAGCAUUUGCCAAGGAUGUUUUCAUUAAUCAAGAACGAAAGUUAGGGGAUCGAAGACGAUCAGAUACCGUCGUAG